AGUGAACGCUGGCGGUAGGCCUAACACAUGCAAGUCGAACGGCAGCACAGUAAGAGCUUGCUCUUACGGGUGGCGAGUGGCGGACGGGUGAGGAAUACAUCGGAAUCUACUUUUUCGUGGGGGAUAACGUAGGGAAACUUACGCUAAUACCGCAUACGACCUUCGGGUGAAAGCAGGGGAUCUUCGGACCUUGCGCGAUUGAAUGAGCCGAUGUCGGAUUAGCUAGUUGGCGGGGUAAAGGCCCACCAAGGCGACGAUCCGUAGCUGGUCUGAGAGGAUGAUCAGCCACACUGGAACUGAGACACGGUCCAGACUCCUACGGGAGGCAGCAGUGGGGAAUAUUGGACAAAGGGCGCAAGCCUGAUCCAGCCAUACCGCGUGGGUGAAGAAGGCCUUCGGGUUGUAAAGCCCUUUUGUUGGGAAAGAAAAGCAGCAGGUUAAUACCCCGCUGUUCUGACGGUACCCAAAGAAUAAGCACCGGCUAACUUCGUG
RNAcentral lists this ribosomal RNA (492 nucleotides) under uncultured bacterium. Its description in RNAcentral is "partial 16S ribosomal RNA". It matches the Rfam family "Bacterial small subunit ribosomal RNA", at positions 29 to 507 of the family's 1533-position model. The record is from RNAcentral.